This 510-nucleotide ribosomal RNA is filed under the name uncultured bacterium. RNAcentral describes it as "partial 16S ribosomal RNA". It matches the Rfam family "Bacterial small subunit ribosomal RNA", at positions 28 to 507 of the family's 1533-position model. The record is from RNAcentral.
GACGAACGCUGGCGGCGUGCUUAACACAUGCAAGUCGAACGAAGAGCGAUGGAAGCUUGCUUCUAUCAAUCUUAGUGGCGAACGGGUGAGUAACGCGUAAUCAACCUGCCCUUCAGAGGGGGACAACAGUUGGAAACGACUGCUAAUACCGCAUACGAUCUAACCUCGGCAUCGAGGAAAGAUGAAAGGUGGCCUCUAUGUAUAAGCUAUCACUGAAGGAGGGGAUUGCGUCUGAUUAGCUAGUUGGAGGGGUAACGGCCCACCAAGGCGAUGAUCAGUAGCCGGUCUGAGAGGAUGAACGGCCACAUUGGGACUGAGACACGGCCCAGACUCCUACGGGAGGCAGCAGUGGGGAAUCUUCCGCAAUGGACGAAAGUCUGACGGAGCAACGCCGCGUGAGUGAUGACGGCCUUCGGGUUGUAAAGCUCGGUUAAUCGGGACGAAAGGCCUUCUUGCGAAUAGUGAGAAGGAUUGACGGUACCGGAAUAGAAAGCCACGGCUAACUACGUG